This 494-nucleotide ribosomal RNA is filed under the name uncultured bacterium. RNAcentral describes it as "partial 16S ribosomal RNA". It matches the Rfam family "Bacterial small subunit ribosomal RNA", at positions 28 to 507 of the family's 1533-position model. The record is from RNAcentral.
GACGAACGCUGGCGGCGUGCUUAACACAUGCAAGUCGAACGGAAAGGCCUGCUUUCCCUUGUGGAUUGCGGGUACUCGAGUGGCGAACGGGUGAGUAACACGUGAGUGAUCUGCCCCCAACUUGGGUAUAAGCCUGGGAAACUGGGUCUAAUUCCCGAUAGGACUGCAGGGUGGUGCCUGUGGUGGAAAACGAUUUUCUAGUGGUUGGGGAUGAGCUCGCGGCCUAUCAGCUUGUUGGUGGGGUAAUGGCCUACCAAGGCGGCGACGGGUAGCCGGCCUGAGAGGGUGGACGGCCACAUUGGGACUGAGUGACGGCCCAGACUCCUACGGGAGGCAGCAGUGGGGAAUAUUGCACAAUGGGCGGAAGCCUGAUGCAGCGACGCCGCGUGGGGGAUGACGGCCUUCGGGUUGUAAACUCCUUUCGACCGCGAGGAAGCCACCUGGUUGGAAGGGUGGUGACGGUAGUGGUAGAAGAAGCACCGGCUAACUACGUG